AACGAACGCUGGCGGCAGGCUUAACACAUGCAAGUCGAACGGGUGCAGCAAUGCAUCAGUGGCAGACGGGUGAGUAACACGUGGGAACCUUCCUAGGGGUACGGAACAACUCAGGGAAACUUGAGCUAAUACCGUAUACGUCCGUAAGGAGAAAGAUUCAUCGCCCCUAGACGGGCCCGCGUCGGAUUAGGUAGUUGGUGGGGUAACGGCCUACCAAGCCUGCGAUCCGUAGCUGAUCUGAGAGGAUGAUCAGCCACACUGGGACUGAGACACGGCCCAGACUCCUACGGGAGGCAGCAGUGGGGAAUCUUGGACAAUGGGCGCAAGCCUGAUCCAGCCAUGCCGCGUGAGUGAAGAAGGCCUUAGGGUUGUAAAGCUCUUUUACUAGGGACGAUAAUGACGGUACCUGGAGAA
This 414-nucleotide ribosomal RNA is filed under the name uncultured bacterium. RNAcentral describes it as "bacterial SSU rRNA". It matches the Rfam family "Bacterial small subunit ribosomal RNA", at positions 29 to 486 of the family's 1533-position model. The record is from RNAcentral.